Helianthus annuus (common sunflower) is the source of this 539-nucleotide long non-coding RNA. RefSeq lists it as uncharacterized. The record is from RefSeq and is a predicted model, not a curated record. The transcript is spliced from 3 exons. Lineage: Eukaryota; Viridiplantae; Streptophyta; Magnoliopsida; Asterales; Asteraceae.
UCCACACUAUUAAUUCGAGACCCAUCACUCUAUAUUUCGCAUGCUUCAUCUGCCCCCUAAAAAAACAUGAUAUUCUGGCAAAGUUUCUUACGAACUCGAAACCGAAACCUCAACACCUUAGCUUUCGCCGGAAUAACCGAGCACGUCGGAAACUACCCUCUCGCCCACUACAGUCGAGCCGGAGUAAAACCUCACUCUCGACACCACCCUCUCACCUCUCCGUUUCGAUAACAAGUCGCCGGAAAGAUCAAGACGUGCCGGAGGAUCGGAGAAGACGACCGGAACGACGACGAAGAAGCCACAUCUCGUUCGGAUAACCACUUCGUUCUCUUGAACAUCCUCCAAUCCUUACUCGUGCGUUCUUUCAAGAAAUCGCAAACGCAACCAAUGUUGAUAGACGCAGUGAUCAAGAAAACAAGCUAGGAUGAACCUAGAAACCCAUCUAGAAUAAGCAAUGUCUUGAAUUAUUUUUGAUACAAUUUUGUUAUGUUUGAAUCUUGUAUGACAUUUUAGUUAUUUAUGAAAUUUGAUUUAAACUA